CAGAAAGUAGUUUAUUAAAAAUAAAAGUUUUGGAAAUUUUUGAUACUUUCAAAGGUCUUUCUGA
This 64-nucleotide transfer RNA is filed under the name Regioscalpellum regium. RNAcentral's name for it is "tRNA-Pro". The record is from RNAcentral. Lineage: Eukaryota; Metazoa; Arthropoda; Thecostraca; Scalpellidae.